RNAcentral lists this unclassified non-coding RNA (229 nucleotides) under plant metagenome. RNAcentral describes it as "partial contains small subunit ribosomal RNA, internal transcribed spacer 1, and 5.8S ribosomal RNA". The record is from RNAcentral.
GCUCCGUAGGUGAACCUGCGGAGGGAUCAUUACAGAGUUCAUGCCCUACCGGGUAGAUCUCCCACCCUAUGUUAUUAUUACUUUGUUGCUUUGGCGGGCCGUUAGGCUCCGGCCCGACUACCGGCCCCGGCUGGUAAGCGCCCGCCAGAGGACCCAAAACCCUGAAUAUUAGUGUCGUCUGAGUACUAUAUAAUAGUUAAACCUUUCAACAACGGAUCUCUUGGUUCUG